RNAcentral lists this ribosomal RNA (1434 nucleotides) under human gut metagenome. RNAcentral's name for it is "bacterial LSU rRNA". It matches the Rfam family "Bacterial large subunit ribosomal RNA", at positions 1203 to 2513 of the family's 2925-position model. The record is from RNAcentral.
CGGCAGCAAUCUUCAUGGUUGCUGGGUAGGAGAGCGUCCUGCAUGGGGCGAAGCGGCCGGGUAACCGUGCCGUGGACCGUGUGGGAGUGAGAAUGCAGACAUGAGUAGCGAGAGACGGGUGAGGAUCCCGUCCGCUGGAUGACCAAGGGUUCCGGGGCCACGUUCGUCGUCCCCGGGUGAGUCGGGUCCUAAGGCGAGGCCGACAGGCGUAGUCGAAUGGAUGAACGGGUGGAUAUUCCCGUACCGACCAUGGACCGGCAAAACCGAGACGGUGAGUACUAACCUCCGCCUCGUGGUGGUUCCUUCCUUCGGGUUGGUUCCGUCGCGUGGUGUUGGGACUGUAGCCGCAGUAGGUCAGCGCAGGGGUGACACGGAAUGGGAGCCGGCCGCGGAGGUGGUUUUCCGUGGUCAAGCACGCAGCCAGUCAUGUAGGCAAAUCCGCAUGGCAUGCAUGGCGAGGUGUGAUGAUGGGAACCGUUAUGGUUCGAUAUCCGGUUGUCCAGGCCGUCGAGAAAAGCCUCGGCGUGAGGGCCAUGGCCGCCCGUACCCCAAACCGACACUGGUGGUCAGGUAGAGAAUACCAAGGCGAUCGAGCGAAUCCUGGUCAAGGAACUCGGCAAAUCACUCCCGUGCCUUCGGUAUAAGGGAGACCCACUGGGGUGAAGGACCUUGCGUCCGGAGCUUUGGUGGGUGGCACAGACCAGGGGGUAGCGACUGUUUACCAAAAACACAGGUGCAUGCGAAGGCGAAAGCCGCUGUAUAUGCACUGACGCCUGCCCGGUGCCGGAAGGUUAAGAGGAUCCGUCAAUCCCUUCGGGGACGAAGCGGUGAAUUCAAGCCCCGGUAAACGGCGGUGGUAACUAUAACCAUCCUAAGGUAGCGAAAUUCCUUGUCGGGUAAGUUCCGACCUGCACGAAUGGCGUAACGACUUCCCCACUGUCUCGACCAGGAGCUCGGCGAAAUUGCAGUACGAGUAAAGAUGCUCGUUAAGCGCAGAAGGACGAAAAGACCCCGGGACCUUUACUAUACCUUGGUAUUGGCGUUAGGCGCGGAUUGUGUAGCAUAGGCGGGAGGCUUUGAAACGGUGGCGCCAGCCAUCGCGGAGCCGCAAGGUGAAAUACCGCUCUGUUCUCGUUUGACGUCUAACCUCGACAAGUCAUCCUUGUCAGGGACAGUGCCUGGCGGGUAGUUCAACUGGGGCGGUUGCCUCCCAAAGAGUAACGGAGGCGCUCAAAGGUCCGCUCAGCCCGGUUGGCAAUCGGGUGUCGAGUGUAAUCGCACAAGCGGGCUUGACUGCGAGGACGACGGUCCGAGCAGGGACGAAAGUCGGAGAUAGUGAUCCGGUGCCGGCGCACGGGCGCGGCAUCGCUCAACGGAUAAAAGGUACCCCGGGGAUAACAGGCUGAUCAUUCCCAAGAGUCCAUAUCGACGGGA